CGUAGGCAGCAAGCGUUGUUCGGAAUUACUGGGCGUAAAGCGUGCGUAGGCGGUGCCUCAAGUUUGGCGUGAAAUCUCCCGGCUCAACCGGGAGGGUGCGCCGAAAACUGAGGUGCUCGAGUGUGGGAGAGGUAGGCGGAAUUCCUGGUGUAGCGGUGAAAUGCGUAGAUAUCAGGAGGAACACCGGCGGUGUAGACGGCUUACUGGACCAUAACUGACGCUGAGGCACGAAAGUGUGGGGAGCAAACAGGAUUAGAUACCCUGGUAGUCCACACCCUAAACGAUGCAUACUUGGUGUGAGCCAUUCAUUUGGUUCGUGCCGGAGCUAACGCGUUAAGUAUGCCGCCUGGGGAGUACGGUCGCAAGGCUG
Molecule: ribosomal RNA, 370 nt
Filed under: uncultured organism
Description: bacterial SSU rRNA
Rfam family: Bacterial small subunit ribosomal RNA
Source: RNAcentral